Molecule: unclassified non-coding RNA, 337 nt
Filed under: uncultured bacterium
Lineage: Bacteria
Description: contains 16S-23S intergenic spacer region
Rfam family: 5.8S ribosomal RNA (bases 1-125)
Source: RNAcentral
GCAUCGAUGAAGAACGCAGCAAAAUGCGAUAAGUAAUGUGAAUUGCAGAAUUCAGUGAAUCAUCGAAUCUUUGAACGCACAUUGCGCCCGCCAGUAUUCUGGCGGGCAUGCCUGUUCGAGCGUCAUUUCAACCCUCAAGCACAGCUUGGUGUUGGGACUCGCGUUAAUUCGCGUUCCCCAAAUUGAUUGGCGGUCACGUCGAGCUUCCAUAGCGUAGUAGUAAAACCCUCGUUACUGGUAAUCGUCGCGGCCACGCCGUUAAACCCCAACUUCUGAAUGUUGACCUCGGAUCAGGUAGGAAUACCCGCUGAACUUAAGCAUAUCAAUAAGCGGAGGA